CUCAUUAACAAAUAAACGAGAGCGACGGGCGAUGUGUACAUAUCUCAGAACCAAUUAUCACAAAAACAAUCUUCAAAACAUUACAAUCAAAUCCAAUUUCAUGCCAGUAAUUAAAACCAACAAUCCAAAACAACAAAUAACAAUGUAACCCACCAAUACACUUAGAGAAAGCUGCACCUUGACCUGAAAUUAAACCAAAUAAAGGAACGAGAAAAUUACACAACCCUAAAAAGAUAAUCAAUAAACGGCGGUAUACAAACCAUAAACAACUAAGUAAGGUCCAACGCGGACUAUCGAUAACGAGACAGGUUCCUCUGAACGGAAUAAGAUACCGCCAAAUUCUUUAAGUUUCAAGAACAUAACUAAUACUACUCAGGCAAAACAUUAACAUCCAAAAAUAAUA
RNAcentral lists this ribosomal RNA (403 nucleotides) under Reticulitermes speratus. RNAcentral's name for it is "partial 12S ribosomal RNA". The record is from RNAcentral. Lineage: Eukaryota; Metazoa; Arthropoda; Insecta; Blattodea; Rhinotermitidae.